GACGAACGCUGGCGGCGUGCUUAACACAUGCAAGUCGAACGGAAAGGCCCUGCUUUUGUGGGGUGCUCGAGUGGCGAACGGGUGAGUAACACGUGAGUAACCUGCCCUUGACUUUGGGAUAACUUAAGGAAACUGGGGCUAAUACCGGAUAGGAGCUCCUGAUGCAUGGUGGGGGUUGGAAAGUUUCGGCGGUUGGGGAUGGACUCGCGGCUUAUCAGCCUGUUUGUGGGGUAGUGGCUUAACAAGCCUUUCACGGCUAGUCGGCCUGCAAGGGUGACCGGCCUCAUCUGGACUGAGCUACGGCCCAGCCUCCUACGGGCGGCAGCAGUGGGGAAUAUUGCCCCAUGGGCGUAAGCCAGAUGCAGCAACCCCGCGUGCGUAAUGACGGCCUUCGGGUUGUAACCCGCUUUCGACUGAUACGAAGCCUGAGUGACGUUAAUGAGUAAAGAAGCACCGGCUAACUACGUG
RNAcentral lists this ribosomal RNA (468 nucleotides) under uncultured bacterium. RNAcentral's name for it is "partial 16S ribosomal RNA". It matches the Rfam family "Bacterial small subunit ribosomal RNA", at positions 28 to 507 of the family's 1533-position model. The record is from RNAcentral.